AGGAGUUUGAUCCUGGCUCAGAGCGAACGCUGGCGGCGUGCUUAACACAUGCAAGUCGAACGCGCAGCAGUUUGUAGCAAUACAGAUUGUGGGCGCGUGGCGAACGGGUGCGUAACACGUGGAUAACCUUCCUUCAGGUGGGGAAUAACCCAGUGAAAAUUGGGCUAAUACCGCAUAACAUGACGAUGGCACAUGCUGUUGUCUUCAAAGGCGCAAGUCGCCAGAAGAGGGAUCCGCGGCCGAUUAGCUAGUUGGCGAGGUAAUGGCUCACCAAGGCAAUGAUCGGUAGCCGGACUGAGAGGUUGGCCGGCCACACUGGAACUGAGACACGGUCCAGACUCCUACGGGAGGCAGCAGUGGGGAAUCUUGCACAAUGGACGAAAGUCUGAUGCAGCAACGCCGCGUGGGGGAUGAAGCUUUUCGGAGUGUAAACCCCUUUCGACCCGGAAGAAAGCCCGCAAGGGUUUGACGGUACGGGUAUAAGAAGCCCCGGCUAACUACGUGCCAGCAGCCGCGGUAAAACGUAGGGGGCCAGCGUUGCUCGGAAUUACUGGGCGUAAAGGGUCCGUAGGCGGUGUGGCAAGUCGGGUAGUGAAAUCUCUGGGCUUAACCCAGAGGCUGCUGCCGAAACUGCCGUGCUAGAGUGU
This 647-nucleotide ribosomal RNA is filed under the name uncultured bacterium. Its description in RNAcentral is "bacterial SSU rRNA". It matches the Rfam family "Bacterial small subunit ribosomal RNA", at positions 1 to 649 of the family's 1533-position model. The record is from RNAcentral.